Molecule: ribosomal RNA, 250 nt
Filed under: uncultured Janthinobacterium sp.
Lineage: Bacteria; Pseudomonadati; Pseudomonadota; Betaproteobacteria; Burkholderiales; Oxalobacteraceae
Description: partial 16S ribosomal RNA
Rfam family: Bacterial small subunit ribosomal RNA
Source: RNAcentral
UACGUAGGGUGCAAGCGUUAAUCGGAAUUACUGGGCGUAAAGCGUGCGCAGGCGGUUUUGUAAGUCUGAUGUGAAAUCCCCGGGCUCAACCUGGGAAUUGCAUUGGAGACUGCAAGGCUAGAAUCUGGCAGAGGGGGGUAGAAUUCCACGUGUAGCAGUGAAAUGCGUAGAUAUGUGGAGGAACACCAAUGGCGAAGGCAGCCCCCUGGGUCAAGAUUGACGCUCAUGCACGAAAGCGUGGGGAGCAAAC